CGCGGGGUGGAGAAGUGGUAUCUCGUCGGGCUCAUAACCCGAAGGUCGCAGGUUCAAAUCCUGCCCCCGCAA
Molecule: non-coding RNA, 72 nt
Organism: Sporosarcina psychrophila
Lineage: Bacteria; Bacillati; Bacillota; Bacilli; Caryophanales; Caryophanaceae
Source: Rfam